RNAcentral lists this long non-coding RNA (1982 nucleotides) under Olea europaea (common olive). RNAcentral describes it as "long non-coding RNA (OEUR_LNC009519)". The record is from RNAcentral. Lineage: Eukaryota; Viridiplantae; Streptophyta; Magnoliopsida; Lamiales; Oleaceae.
CUGUUUAAUCACUAACUGAGAUUUCUAUCGAAUAUUUGUCUGAGUUGAAAAUUAAAUUGCUCUGUGUUAAUGAUUAAUUCAUUUGCAGGCUAACUUCAUUUUUAGUCAAUGCUGGGAUUCUUUUACCUGUUCGCAAACAAUAUUCCUAUUAAGAUCAUUAUUUGUAUUGACAUCUUACACAUACUACACAGGCAGGGAGGGAAACUGUUUGGCCUCAUGAUCCUCGCACAGGUUGGAGUUACUGUGUUAUAGUACCAUCCUGGGUUGUCCUGGCAAAGUCUAGAGAUUCAGAUGCUAUAGUGGUAAUUUAAAUGUUUAUGAAUGUUAAGUAACCUGCUUUGGCACCUAAAUAUUGUUUUUAUUAUACAUGAAUCAAUUCUAAAAAUUAAAGAUGGAAGUAGUGUUCAUGAAUUUCUUUUUACUACUAAUCAAUCAGCUCUUAUGUACUUUGUUUCCAAAUGGACAGCCCGUGGAAGUGAACGGAUAAGAAGUUCCUCUUAUUCUGUGUACUGCGAUACGGCAUCAUCUUCUCUUUUAAUUGUGUGAUUGGAAUCAUAAUUUGACAGAAAACUAAGACUUGUAAUGACUUUCUUAGCUUAAAGCAUGGGGGAGUACGUGUGAGCCUGAUCUUAUUGAAUGUAUUUUCUAUAUCUGUGGUAGGUUCCAGUAGAUGUUAGCUACUUUCUUGGCAUAUUUUACCACUGUAGGCAUUAUGGUCCUUAUUACUAAGUAUGGAACACUUAAUGGAAAUGAUAUCAGUCUGACAGUCUCUGUAGUAUGAGCAUUCUUCAGUGCGUUCAUUAUAUCUGCAUUUUAAGAUGUAUUUAGAUGCUUUUUGCAGCAAUAUAUUUCAUCAUAUUGUCUAUAUGCUCUAACCACCAAGUAUAUCUGCAUUUUAAGAUGUAUUUAGAUGCUUUUGUGGCAAUACGUUUCAUCAUAUUGGCUAUAUGCUCUAACCACCAAGUAUAGAACUCUUGAUGUAAAUGAUUCUCGUCUCUGGAGAGUGAGCUUUUCCAGAAGUAUUACCUUAGUUGGAGUCUCUGGAAGUUUUGAUCCUCAGUCAGUUACACUUCUUUUCUUUUGUCUAUGAUUUCCAUAUAGAUUCAUACGUAUUUCUAAUGUGGCACAGUAAUAAGUCAGAAAUUAACCAGUCGUCGUGACUACUCACUUGGGAGUAUAAAGUGGAGGCCUCUGUUUGAAAUACUUAUUUAUAUUCUAUUUUAUGUACCUUACGAGCUUGAAGUGAGAUAAUCUAGUGGUUGAUUUCAUGCCAAUUGCAAUAUGAGAACAGGACUUGGGAGCUGAGAUAAUAUUUGGCUUCUUGAUUCAAUCAUUUUUUUAAAAGUAUAUCACUUUGUGAUGUUCCCCUUAUUUUAUUCUUAUGAGCUGACAUGAGGACAGCUAAUAGAUCGAGCCGAAUCUAAUUAAUACAGUCCAGGCCGGUGGUUCAAAUCGGCUGGGUAAGACUGUGCAUUCCUAUCCUGGUUCCUCCAGAUAUCACCACUCUUGAACUAGAAUCGCUAUUUAUCGCAAACGACUUUAAGAAAAAUCGGAAGUUCUGUAUGAGCUGACAUGAGGACAGCUAAUAGAUGGCAAGUGUAAAUGAGGAGUAGAAGAAGUACUUACUAAGCAUACGUAUAAGGGGCUUUUGCAUUGUUGUUAGUUUCACUGUCUUAAUUGUUAAUCAUGUGCUUUCGAUUAUCUUGGAUGGAAAAAUGGUCUUUUGUAAAGAGUGUUAUACAGGUAGGUGCUGAACCCUGGUUUUGGACUUAUAUGAGCUGACAUGAGGACAGCUAAUAGAUGGCAAGUGUAAAUGAGGAGUAGAAGAAGUACUUACUAAGCAUACGUAUAAGGGGAUUUUGCGUUGUUGUUAGUUUCACUGUCUUAAUUGUUAAUCAUGUGCUUUCGAUUAUCUUGGAUGGAAAAAUGGUCUUUUGUAAAGAGUGUUAUACAGGUAGGUGCUGAACCCUGGUUUUGGACUU